Molecule: long non-coding RNA, 437 nt
Filed under: Lathyrus oleraceus (garden pea)
Lineage: Eukaryota; Viridiplantae; Streptophyta; Magnoliopsida; Fabales; Fabaceae
Description: Pisum sativum (pea) long non-coding RNA (PSAT_LNC003122)
Source: RNAcentral
ACUUUUUGUGAUUCAGACCAAACUGUGAAGCAUCAGCAGAGCUCACUCCAAAUGCAGUUUCAGAGGCAUGCGUUUGCAAGUUAUUUUGACCCUCAGAAAUCGGCAUUUUUCCAAAUGCAGUUUCAGAGGCAUGCGUUUGCAAGUUAUUUUGACCCUCAGAAAUCGGCAUUUGAUAUGAAGCAUACAAUGCCUUUGUUGUCUCAUCCUCACUAAAGUCACAAGAAUUCAUCCCAGGCCUAACAACAAAUUUAGCAGAGCAAUGAGGCAAUAAAACACGGCGCACAAAAAAGUAUGCACAAACUAAGUCUACAACUAGCAUAAUAUGAUCGUGCAUAUGAACAAGUAACUUACAGCCAAUAUGAACAAGUAACUUACAGCCAAUAUGAACAAGCAACUUACAGCCAAUAUGAACAAGCAACUUACAACCAAUAUGAACA